RNAcentral lists this ribosomal RNA (125 nucleotides) under Bison bison bison. Lineage: Eukaryota; Metazoa; Chordata; Mammalia; Artiodactyla; Bovidae. The record is from RNAcentral.
GUCUCAGGCCGUAUCAGCCUGAAGGCGCCCGAUCUCGGUCUGAUCUCGGAAGCUAAGCAGGGUCGGGCCUGGUUAGGAUCUUGGGAUGGGGAGACCACCUGGGGAAUCCCGGGGUGCUCGAGGGC